Molecule: non-coding RNA, 87 nt
Filed under: Frankia sp.
Lineage: Bacteria; Bacillati; Actinomycetota; Actinomycetes; Frankiales; Frankiaceae
Description: ZTP sequence
Rfam family: ZMP/ZTP riboswitch aptamer (pfl RNA motif)
About the family: Previously known as pfl RNA. ZMP is also known as AICAR.
Source: RNAcentral
GGGCCGAGUCGUGACUGGCGUGCUGGGGUGGAAUCAACCACCGGGGAGCGACCAAUCGGCACGGCACCGUGCGCCUGGGUGCCGCCG